GACGAACGCUGGCGGCGUGCUUAACACAUGCAAGUCGAACGGAAAGGCCCUGCUUUUGUUUGGUGCUCGAGUGGCUAACGGUUGAGUAACACGUGAUUACCCUGCCCUUGCCUUUGUGAUAACUUCAGGAAACUGGGGCUAAUACCGGAUAGUAGCUCCUGCUGCUUGUUGGUGGUUGGAAAGUUUCGGCGGUUGGGGAUGGACUCGCGGCUUAUCAGCUUGUUGGUGGGGUAGUGGCUUACCAAGGCUUUGGCGGGUUGCCGGCCUGAGAGGGAGACCGGCCACAUGGGGACUGGGAUAGGGGCAAGAGUCAUACGGGAGGAAGAGGUGGGGAAUAUUGCAAAAAGGGCGGAAGCCUGAAGCAGCAACUCCGGGUGCGGGAUGACGGCCUUAGGGGUGGAAACCGCGUUAGCGUGUGAAGAAGAGUGAGUGACGGUAAUGGGUAAAGAAGCACCGGCUAACUACGUG
Molecule: ribosomal RNA, 468 nt
Filed under: uncultured bacterium
Lineage: Bacteria
Description: partial 16S ribosomal RNA
Rfam family: Bacterial small subunit ribosomal RNA
Source: RNAcentral